Oncorhynchus kisutch (coho salmon) is the source of this 1091-nucleotide long non-coding RNA. RefSeq lists it as uncharacterized. The transcript has 2 exons. The record is from RefSeq and is a predicted model, not a curated record. Lineage: Eukaryota; Metazoa; Chordata; Actinopteri; Salmoniformes; Salmonidae.
UUUCUGAGAAUGGUGUGAGCACACAUAUUCCACACAUUGGGCCCUAUAACACCCAACUUCUCCUGGCCUUCCUAAAUACACUUUACAGAGACCUAAUACCAGAACACCAAAGAGGUUUAGUUAGACCAGAUUUGCCAUAUUAUGUAAUUGUGUGGGAUAAUGGUCAGCUUCCACCGAACCAACAUUGUUAGGAAAUGGUUUGCUGCACAUGAAAGGAUAACAAUGGAGUUCCUUCCCACCAUCCUCCCCUUUCCUGAAUCCAAAAGAAGAGUUUUGUUCAGCAUGGAGGUGGAAAGUAUAUGACUAUCAGGCACAAGAUCAGAUGUCUCUGUUAGAUGCUGUGAAUGCCGUUUGUGAGGACAUCACAGCGAUCAUUGCAGGGGAUGGUUGAGCCACGCAAGGAGAUUUUCCCCCCCGGUGCAUCACAAGGGAAAACAUCAGAUGUGAUGUUGACGAAAGUCUCCGGCCAGACCAACAAGAGCAACAGGAUGUCCACCAAGAAGAUGGGAACUUGUAGUGUUACGUACUGUGAGGAGCUCCUGCUAGGUAUGAUAGGCUCCACUGACGAGGUCCUUCUGGAGGCAGCCGCUGUCUGUGUGGCUAACAUCCGCCGUCUUUGCCCCGGCCAAUAAGAAGGCACGAUGCGGUUAACCAAUCACAACCACAACGACCUCCCCAGCAGCUACUGUGUCCUCAUCAUCACCUCUUAUUGCUGAUUGGAUGUCAUGGGUCCAGGUGUACUCCAGUAGCCUUCCAUCCACAGAGACUUUUCUCACUAUGCCUCUAUCCUUUCCGCCCAUCCCACAGAAUAUAGGUGUGAUUCAAAUCAAAUAUGAUGAGUGAUGCAUGUGUAUUUAUGUCCCUUCUUCCUUCUGCCUCCAUCUGUCAUAGUGGGAAGCUUUUAGUCCAUACUACCCAUGAAUUUAGAUCAUUAUUUCAUUUGGAGGUCAAGCAAACAUAUAGGACCUACAAACAUGUGUGCCCAUGCCAGAUACCCCAUCCCUGUACCUGAGAGUGAAGCGGUUUAGAGCAUGUAUUGUUCAGUCACAUUCCUUACGUAAUAAACAUGAGACACUGAUAUCUAAACAAGA